This 1069-nucleotide long non-coding RNA is filed under the name Salmo salar (Atlantic salmon). RNAcentral's name for it is "lncRNA (ENSSSAG00000090911.1)". The record is from RNAcentral. Lineage: Eukaryota; Metazoa; Chordata; Actinopteri; Salmoniformes; Salmonidae.
UGACACAAAAUACUCCAAACACCAGAUCCAUUAUACAUUUACAUGUGCUAAAUGAUCAACUAGUGGUUAAAACAACACAUGGUGGUGUAGAAAAGAUCAAUAAUACAUUUAAAUGUGCUAAAUGAUCAACUAGUGGUUAAAACAACACAUGGUGGUGUAGAAAAGCGUAUUCUGAAUCCAGCCAGACAUACAUCAUCCUGCUCCUCCAAACACUCCACUGGCUUCCAGUUGAAGCUCGCACCCACUACAAGACCAUGAUGCUUAGCUACAGAACAGGAAGAGGACCUGCCCCUCCCUACCUUCAGGCUCUGAUCCGUUCUGCCACCUCAGGUCUCUGGUCCCCUCCCACCCCUACGGGAGGGCAGUUCCUGCUCAGCCCAGUCCAGUUCCUGCUCAGCCCAGUCCAGUUCCUGCUCAGCCCAGUCCAGUUCCUGCUCAGCCCAGUCCAGUUCCUCCUCAGCCCAGUCCAGUUCCUGCUCAGCCCAGUCCAGUUCCUGCUCAGUCCAGUCCAGUUCCUGCUCAGCCCAGUCCAGUUCCUGCUCAGUCCAGUCCAGUUCCUGCUCAGCCCAGUUCCUGCUCAGCCCAGUCCAGUUCCUGCUCAGCCCAGUCCAUCCAGUCCAGUUCCUGCUCAGUCCAGUCCAGUUCCUGCUCAGCCCAGUCCAGUUCCUGAUCAGCCCAGUCCAGUUCCUGAUCAGCCCAGUCCAUCCAGUCCAGUUCCUGCUCAGUCCAGUCCAGUUCCUGCUCAGCCCAGUUCCUGCUCAGCCCAGUCCAGUUCCUGCUCAGCCCAGUCCAGUUCCUGCUCAGCCCUGUCCAGUUCCUGCUCAGCCCAGGCCAGUUCCUCCUCAGCCCAGUCCAGUUCCUGCUCAGUCCAGUCCAGUUCCUGCUCAGCCUAGUCCAGUUCCUGCUCAGCCCAGUCCAGUUCCUGCUCAGCCCAGUCCAAUUCCUGCUCAGCCCAGUCCAGUUCCUGCUCAGCCCUGUCCAGUUCCUCCUCAGCCCCUCCUAGACCCCCUGCCUGGACCCCCUGCCUAUGAGCCCCUGCCUGGACCCCCUGCCUGUGACCCCCUGCCUG